This is a non-coding RNA of Araneus ventricosus, 67 nucleotides long. The record is from the annotation of a GenBank genome assembly. NCBI's taxonomy places the organism in Eukaryota, Metazoa, Arthropoda, Arachnida, Araneae, Araneidae.
UGGAAUGAGGUUUCGAACCUGAAACCGUCCGGUCGCGAAGCCGAGACCUUGCCACUAGGCCAGCUCC